GUUUUUUUUUUUCUUUUUGUAAUUUACUGAUUUCCUUUUGUCAAUUUGUAUUGAAAAUAGAAUUAUAUUUUAUUUAAUCUAUUGCUGUCAAUUUAUUCUUGUAGAUCUGAAAAUUGUUAAUCAGAUAUAAUUUAUUGUAAAUUUAUUUGGGUAUCAAUAAUUUGGAAUAAUUUGUUCUCUUUGUAAAUCUAUUUGGGAUAAUUUCUUCUUCUUUAGAAACCUAUUUGGCUAUAUUAUAUUGAGUAUUUGAGAUAAUUUUAUUUUUAAAUAUGCUUGGAUUGCACUAAUUCAAUUUGUAUUUGGAAUUUAGAUUGGGAUGAGGCAGGGAUCCGCAACAUAGAUUUUUGGGCUGUAAGGAAUAGCUUGAUUAUACCAAGCUGAUCCGCAACAUAGAUUCUGCAUGGCUAUCUGUUCAAUGGGAUGAACCUUGUCCACCCUUCCUUCCAGAAAGAGUGUCACCAUGGGAAUUGGAACUGAGGAACAAGCGGGCAAAAACUAGCUCUACUGGGGUUACUUCUCAAAUAAGACCUUCUAAAGCUAAGUGUUCCAUUGUUUAUGAACAGGGGAGGGAGUAACUGAAAAGGAAGGUGAGACUGAGGUGGCGAUUUGUGGUGUUAGUGGAGCAGAUGUGCUAAAAUCUCAUGUAUCUGACCUUAACAGAAUAUACUGCAUUGAGGGAAAAUUUUGGGAGAAUUGCAGGCUUAAGAGAGCUAAUACAAUAGCAGUAGUGCUGGGAGAACUUGGUUCUGCACUGUCAUUGAAGGAAAAAACUUGGAUGUCAAUGACUCCUGAUGAGUUAACAACCAUAAUCCAAAGCGUUGAGGAUGCUUUGAAAGUUGGAUUCAAACUGGAUUGUCUAAAGCCUGUCGUAGAGAAAGCUAAAACAGUGUUGUGUUCUUUCAACAUUCGUUGCCGAUUGGAGGCAUUACAAAAGGAAAAAAGUUCUCUAGAAACUCAACUUCAGACUUUAAUUUCUCAAUUACAAUCUCUUGAACUAGAUCGAACGCCGAAGGACUUGAUUUAGAAUGUAGAUGUUUAGCUAGUAUCUUUAGCUAUGCAUCAGAUGAUUUCAGGAGAAUGAAAUUCUAGAUCACCUUCCUCUUUAUUAGAAAAUAAUAAAAGGAAAUGCCAAUAUGUAAUUCUAUUGUUAUUACACAAGUUACUUGACAAAGACUUUCCAUUUCAUCCUUACCAAUAACAAAUUAAAUUUGACUGGAAUAUGCCUAAUUGUUCCAUUUUCACAUCUUUGA
This is a long non-coding RNA of Manihot esculenta (cassava), 1250 nucleotides long. RefSeq lists it as uncharacterized. NCBI's taxonomy places the organism in Eukaryota, Viridiplantae, Streptophyta, Magnoliopsida, Malpighiales, Euphorbiaceae. The record is from RefSeq and is a predicted model, not a curated record. The transcript is spliced from 3 exons.